Molecule: ribosomal RNA, 389 nt
Filed under: uncultured bacterium
Lineage: Bacteria
Description: bacterial SSU rRNA
Rfam family: Bacterial small subunit ribosomal RNA
Source: RNAcentral
AUUGAACGCUGGCGGCAUGCCUUACACAUGCAAGUCGAACGGUAACGCGGGGCAACCUGGCGACGAGUGGCGAACGGGUGAGUAAUAUAUCGGAACGUGCCCAGUAGUGGGGGAUAGCCCGGCGAAAGCCGGAUUAAUACCGCAUACGACCUACGGGUGAAAGCGGGGGAUCGCAAGACCUCGCGCUAUUGGAGCGGCCGAUAUCAGAUUAGGUAGUUGGUGGGGGUAAAGGCCUACCAAGCCUACGAUCUGUAGCUGGUCUGAGAGGACGACCAGCCACACUGGGACUGAGACACGGCCCAGACUCCUACGGGAGGCAGCAGUGGGGAAUUUUUGGACAAUGGGCGCAAGCCUGAUCCAGCCAUGCCGCGUGCGGGAAGAAGGCCUUC